CAGAGUCCGUAGGGGUGGCCGAUAGGGCCUGAGAACAAACCCUUCGAACCUGAACCGGGUAAUGCCGACGUAGGGAACGGUCCGCAUAAAGCC
RNAcentral lists this non-coding RNA (93 nucleotides) under Candidatus Zhuqueibacterota. RNAcentral describes it as "Candidate division TPP sequence". It matches the Rfam family "TPP riboswitch aptamer (THI element)". Rfam says of the family: Vitamin B(1) in its active form thiamin pyrophosphate (TPP) is an essential coenzyme that is synthesised by coupling of pyrimidine and thiazole moieties in bacteria. The previously detected thiamin-regulatory element, thi box was extended, resulting in a new, highly conserved RNA secondary structure, the THI element, which is widely distributed in eubacteria and also occurs in some archaea. Analysis of operon structures identified a large number of new candidate thiamin-regulated genes, mostly transporters, in various prokaryotic organisms. The record is from RNAcentral. Lineage: Bacteria; Pseudomonadati.